Molecule: transfer RNA, 75 nt
Filed under: Mucilaginibacter jinjuensis
Lineage: Bacteria; Pseudomonadati; Bacteroidota; Sphingobacteriia; Sphingobacteriales; Sphingobacteriaceae
Description: tRNA-Leu
Rfam family: tRNA
About the family: Transfer RNA (tRNA) molecules are approximately 80 nucleotides in length. Their secondary structure includes four short double-helical elements and three loops (D, anti-codon, and T loops).
Source: RNAcentral
CGGGAUGUACAGUAGCCCGGUAUCUUGUCCCGAUAAGGAUCGGGAAGAUCGUGGGUUCGAAUCCCACCAUCCCGA